GAUGAACGCUGGCGGCGUGCCUAAUACAUGCAAGUCGAGCGAACGGACGAGAAGCUUGCUUCUCUGAUGUUAGCGGCGGACGGGUGAGUAACACGUUGAUAACCUACCUAUAAGACUGGGAUAACUUCGGGAAACCGGAGCUAAUACCGGAUAAUAUUUUGAACCGCAUGGUUCAAAAGUGAAAGACGGUCUUGCUGUCACUUAUAGAUGGAUCCGCGCUGCAUUAGCUAGUUGGUAAGGUAACGGCUUACCAAGGCAACGAUGCAUAGCCGACCUGAGAGGGUGAUCGGCCACACUGGAACUGAGACACGGUCCAGACUCCUACGGGAGGCAGCAGUAGGGAAUCUUCCGCAAUGGGCGAAAGCCUGACGGAGCAACGCCGCGUGAGUGAUGAAGGUCUUCGGAUCGUAAAACUCUGUUAUUAGGGAAGAACAUAUGUGUAAGUAACUGUGCACAUCUUGACGGUACCUAAUCAGAAAGCCACGGCUAACUACGUG
This 497-nucleotide ribosomal RNA is filed under the name uncultured bacterium. RNAcentral's name for it is "partial 16S ribosomal RNA". It matches the Rfam family "Bacterial small subunit ribosomal RNA", at positions 28 to 507 of the family's 1533-position model. The record is from RNAcentral.